CCUACGGGAGGCAGCAGUGGGGAAUAUUGCACAAUGGGCGCAAGCCUGAUGCAGCCAUGCCGCGUGUGUGAAGAAGGCCUUCGGGUUGUAAAGCACUUUCAGUCAGGAGGAAAGGUUAGUAGUUAAUACCUGCUAGCUGUGACGUUACUGACAGAAGAAGCACCGGCUAACUCCGUGCCAGCAGCCGCGGUAAUA
This 195-nucleotide ribosomal RNA is filed under the name uncultured bacterium. RNAcentral's name for it is "partial 16S ribosomal RNA". It matches the Rfam family "Bacterial small subunit ribosomal RNA", at positions 338 to 525 of the family's 1533-position model. The record is from RNAcentral.